ACCCCAAAGGUUUGGGGUUAUUCCUCUGUGAGAAUGACAAAGUUUCAUGAUAAAAUGCCAACACAGUUAUGAGCUCUUUAAACUAGGUACACUGAAUCAAUAACCCCCCAGAGUAAAUGAUACCCAUAUUGAUUUGGGGUGGGGAAGGAAGACCUAACUCCAGGGAAGACUUGGAAAAUUUUAAUGAAGUUGAAAUGAAAAUAAAGAGAGAAGGAAGAAAGAAAUUUGACUGAAAAACAUGUGUGUGUGUGUGUGUGUGUGUGUGUGUGUGUGUGUGUUUGUACUAAAAACUACUUUCCAGGGAACCUUGAUAGUUGUCAGUGAUAGAGAAAUUACUUAUGGCCCUUGUGUUCAAUGCACUUCAAUUUAAGAAGAGGCUGUGGAAAGGCGGCAUAUAUGCUGCUAAGUAUAUCCCAACUUGGCAAGGCCAAAUGAGUGAUUCAAAACAAGGUGCCAGUGGAAAUUUUACAAUCACAGAUACUUGUAAACUGAUGCUAAGUUUCUGAGAAAUAAGCUUGAAUACUCAGAGAUCUUGAGUUAGAGAAAGGCUAAUUGUGAGCCUAAGUAAUCCAGGAUAAUCUAUAAAAUUACUGGCUUGUGUUGGGAGCUAUAUGCUGUUUUUAAGUGACUUAUACCUAGGUCAGGUUGAAUAUAAAUGUUAUUAUGACAUCAAUAAAAGAAUAAACAUCCAAGGUUAGUCUCCAUUUUAAUUCUCUUAUCAUAUUCAUUCAUUUAUUCACUUAAUAUGUAUUAAGCACCUACUAUGUGCCAAGCAAUGUUCUAGGCACCAGAGAAUCAGAAAUAAAUAAAACAGACAAAAUUCUAUGUGCUGGUUGGACUUACAUUCUCAUGGAGAGAGAAAGAUAAUGAACCAUAUAAAUAUGUAAAAUAGAUGUAAAAUGGAAGAAGUGUUGUGACAGAAAAAUGAGCAAGAAAAUUGGAUAGGAAGUACUGAGGACGGGAAUGGGGGGUUUCAAUUCCAAUUCAUUUGCAGUCACGGAAGAUUCACUUGAUUAGGUGUUAUUGGAGCAAGGACCUAAAAGGCACAGAAGUGAAUCCUGCAGCUCUCUGGAGAAAGUGAUUUUUCCGUGUAGAGACACCAAGCACAGAGUCCUACAGCAGAAGCAUGCCUGAUGAGUUCUAGGAAGAGCAAGGUGGUCCCUGUGGCUGGAGCAGAGUGAGAAAGGAGCAGGAGAUAAUGUCUGAAAAAAAUUAAGGGAUAGGCCAUGUUGGACCUUGGAGGCUAUUAGGAAGAUUUUCGGUUUUACUCUGAGAGAGGUAGGAAGGCACUUGAGUAGCUUCUUGCUUUUGAGUAGAAGAGAGACAGCAUCUGAUUUUUGUUUUAGGAUCACUCUGGAUGCUAUUUUGAGACUGGAACGUAGGCAAUCAAGGGCGGAAGAAAGUAGACCCAACUGUGGUAGUUUUCUACUGCUGCUAUAACAAACCACCACACACUUAGUGGCUUAAAAUGAUACAAUUUGGCUACCUUACAGUUGUGUGUGCGUUAGAUGUCUCACUGGAGUAAAAUCAAGGCCCGUGCAGGGCUGUGCUCCUUUCUGGAUGGAGGCUCUAGGGGAGAAUCUGUCUCUUGCCUUUUGUAGUCUCUAGUGACUGCCCACAUUCCUCUGCUCAUAGACCUUUCCUCCAUCUUCACCAUCUUCAAAGUUUGCAACAUCACAUCUCUGACUCUUCUUCCAUUGUCACAUAUUCCCUGACUUCCUCUGACUCUGAUCAUUAUUCCUUCUUACCACAUCUGGGAAAAAGUCUUCAUUUUUAACAACCCACUUGAUUAGACUGUGCCUACCUGGAUAAUUCAGGAUACUCUCCCCAUCUCAAGGUCCUUAAAUUAAUCACACCUGCAAAUUUCCUUUUGCCACAUAAGGUAACAUACUCACAGGUUCCGAGGAUUAGGGCAUGAACAUCUCUGCAGGAUGGGAGGCAUUAUUCUGCCUACCGAACCAGUUUACUGCAAUCUACCGUCUAUUUAUAUUACUGUUAUUGGUACAUUUGCCUCAUUCUCUUUUUAAAACCACAAACACUUUGCAGGGAUCGGCUUAGUUGGUGUAUCUCACUUCAGUAGUCAUGUCUUAUUUCCAGGACUUUGUACUUCCUACUUUGGCCUGCCUCACUACCUACUUGGCUUGGCGUUUCCAAUAUAAUCAGUGGGAAGGAAAAACAGUAAUAAUGGAAUAGCAAAAUACUUCUAGGACCUAAAAGCAAUAUAGGGUUUGGAAAGCUAUAUGUUCUCUCUGCAUAGGAAUUUUUAUAUUCACAGUGGUAUGAGCACAAAAGGAGGAGAUCACUGGAGAUAUAUUAAAGUAUGGAGACCACCAUCUGUGUGAAGACAGAAGGACAAACCAUAUGGCAUAUGGAGGUAAAGACUACCGAUGGCUUAUGGAUUAUGCAAGUGAUUGAUAUUUGAAAUAAAAAUCUACAUUGAGUUAUCAAAGAUAAUAGUCACUUCCAUUGAAGAAUAAGCAAAACUUCCAAAGACUUCAUUAAUAUCCACAUCAGUGAUAUUUCAAGAGAGACUAACUCAGCAGUGUCAGCUAAUGAAAGUGAAUGAAGAAUGUGAAGAUUAAAAGAUCGUAUGAAUCAAGAAUUAAUUUGUGAAUUUCAUGAGUCAUAAGUGCCCCUAGUGUUUUCCCAGGCCUCACCAAGGCUGUAGGUACAAAUGGUAGAGUUGCCAUCAUGUUCCAGCCACUCUUGGUCCCCAUCUGCAUGUGCCGGGUGUCUCCUCAAAUUCUCUUUCAAGUUGAGUCCUAGCAGGUAUACUUUACCAGUUCAACAGGCCCACUCAAGAAGAUUCAAUCCUAAUAACAGAUACAGCUUAAGCUAAAGCUUGGACACCUCAACUCUUGUAUAAGACCUCAGUCUUUGUACCUGUUUUGUACUAUUAAUUAAACAGUAAAGUUUCUUUUUCUUUCUUUUUUUUUUUUUUACC
Molecule: long non-coding RNA, 2944 nt
Filed under: Homo sapiens (human)
Lineage: Eukaryota; Metazoa; Chordata; Mammalia; Primates; Hominidae
Description: HSALNT0319469
Source: RNAcentral